ACCAACCACACCCAAAGCUCCCAAGAGCAAAGAGAAGGAAAAAGAGAAGGAAAAAGUAAAGGAAAAAGAGAAAGAAAAAGAGAAAGACAAACAUACAUCCAAGAUUACAUAUGGAGCUGCUCAGCGACCUCUGCUCUACCACUGAGAUAUUCCUCUGUAGUGGGAGAGUUUGGAUGAGAGUAAGCCCCACUGGAUGCUGCGUGUGGUCAGUGAACAGUCAGAGGUGGAAAAGAUUGAGGUGGAAAAGGACACUGAGAGACUAGAGCAAAUUAAGGCAAUAAAACUGGCCUGGGAAGCUGCAGAGCCUGGCAGAGCAGCUAAGGCUUUUCAAACCCGUCAGCAGUACCUGAACAAUCUGAGGACGCUCGGAGAAGACUACACCCUGGACCUCACACCUUUCAUCAGGAGGACCGGCAGGCCAGAGCGUCUAAAGGAUGCAGUGAUGGAGGAGGAACAGCAGAGGGAGCGGUUGGAGAAGAUCCAGAGCUUUCGGCUGUACCGAGAGACCGUGCUGGAUCGCCGUAGGCAGGAGCAUGAGCAGACCAAGCAGCUGAUAAGGGAACAACGAGAGCUGUUUAUAAGAAUUCAGGAGGAGAAAGCUGAGCUGCUCCGGAAGUUCGAUCAGACUCGAGCGAUUAUUCGAAGGUGGAGGAGCAGUCUCGAAAGAAAGGAGAAGAGUCUCCGAAAAUAGAAGGAGUUUCUACUUAUUGAACCUUUAAAGUGUAAAACACUGAUAAGAACACAAUACAUACAGUGCAUCCGGAAAGUAUUCACAGCACUUCACUUUUGUUAUGUUACAGCCUUAUUCCAAAAUGGAUUCAAUUCAUUAUUUUCCUCAAAAUUCUACAAACAAUACCCCAUAAUGACAAUGUGAAAGAAGUUCGUUUGAAAUCUUUGCAAAUUUAUUAAAAAUAAAAAACAAAAAAAGCACAUGUACAUAAGUAUUCACAGCCUUUGUUCAAUACUUUGUUGAAGCACCUUUGGCACUAAUUACAGCCUCAAGUCUUUUUGAGUAUGAUACUACAAGCUUGGCACACCUAUUUUUG
This is a long non-coding RNA of Ictalurus punctatus (channel catfish), 1046 nucleotides long. NCBI's taxonomy places the organism in Eukaryota, Metazoa, Chordata, Actinopteri, Siluriformes, Ictaluridae. The record is from Ensembl.